This 278-nucleotide long non-coding RNA is filed under the name Fukomys damarensis (Damara mole-rat). RNAcentral describes it as "lncRNA (ENSFDAG00000022671.1)". Lineage: Eukaryota; Metazoa; Chordata; Mammalia; Rodentia; Bathyergidae. The record is from RNAcentral.
GCAUAAACUGGUAAGAUAUAAUCUAAUCCCUCUGCCUUUCUCCUCACUGGCAAAAGGGAACGCCAAACAGCAGAAGAGAAUUUUAUUUGGGAGGAAGAACAGCACUCAGAGUUAAUAUAGAGAGGCAAGCGGGUUCAUCAGCAGAGACAUGGAAGGUCUGGGACUGGAGGCCUGCUCAGAGGAGGCAGCCCAGAAGUGCCGCUCUGGGGAUAGAGGGUAAAGUGGUUCCUCAAAAAGAAGUCAGUGAGAGGUUUUGCCAAAUUGCAGCAGGAUCAGAG